RNAcentral lists this ribosomal RNA (406 nucleotides) under uncultured bacterium. Its description in RNAcentral is "partial 16S ribosomal RNA". It matches the Rfam family "Bacterial small subunit ribosomal RNA", at positions 30 to 526 of the family's 1533-position model. The record is from RNAcentral.
AUUGAACGCUGGCGGCAGGCUUAACACAUGCAAGUCGAGCGCGCGGCGGACGGGUGUGUAAUGUCUGGAAAACUGCCUGAUGGAGGGGGAUAUCUACUGGACACGGUAUCUAAUACCGCAUACCAUCAGAUGUGCCCAGAUGGGAUUCGCUAGUAGGUGAGGUAAUGGCUCACCUAGGCGACGAUCCCUAGCUGGUCUGAGAGGAUGACCAGCCACACUGGAACUGAGACACGGCCCAGACUCCUACGGGAGGCAGCAGUGGGGAAUAUUGCACAAUGGGCGCAAGCCUGAUGCAGCCAUGCCGCGUGUGUGAAGAAGGCCUUCGGGUUGUAAAGUACUUUCAGCGAGGAGGCGUUACUCGCAGAAGAAGCACCGGCUAACUCCGUGCCAGCCGCCGCGGUAAUUC